Molecule: ribosomal RNA, 458 nt
Filed under: uncultured Anaerolineaceae bacterium
Lineage: Bacteria; Bacillati; Chloroflexota; Anaerolineae; Anaerolineales; Anaerolineaceae
Description: bacterial SSU rRNA
Rfam family: Bacterial small subunit ribosomal RNA
Source: RNAcentral
GAUUGACGGGCCCGCACAAGCAGCGGAGCGUGUGGUUAAUUCGAUGCUACACGAAGAACCUUACCAGGGUUUGACAUGCAAGUGGUAGGAAUCUGAAAAGGGACCGACCCUUCGGGGAGCUUGCACAGGUGCUGCAUGGCUGUCGUCAGCUCGUGUCAUGAGAUGUUCGGUUAAGUCCGCUAACGAGCGCAACCCUCACUGUGUGUUAUAUGUGUCACACGGGACUGCCGGUUUUAAGCCGGAGGAAGGUGGGGAUGACGUCAAGUCAGCAUGGCCUUUAUAUCCUGGGCUACACACACGCUACAAUGGUCGGUACAAUAGGUUGCCAAGCCGCGAGGCGGAGCCAAUCCACAAAGCCGGCCUCAGUUCAGAUUGUAGGCUGCAACUCGCCUGCAUGAAGAUGGAGUUGCUAGUAACCGCAGGUCAGCAAUACUGCGGUGAAUACGUUCCCGGGUCUU